GACGAACGCUGGCGGCGUGCUUAACACAUGCAAGUCGAACGGAAAGGCCUCUUUCGGGGGGUACUCGAGUGGCGAACGGGUGAGUAACACGUGAGUAACCUGCCCUUGACUUUGGGAUAACUUCAGGAAACUGGGGCUAAUACCGGAUAGGAGCUCCUGCUGCAUGGUGGGGGUUGGAAAGUUUCGGCGGUUGGGGAUGGACUCGCGGCUUAUCAGCUUGUUGGUUGGGUAGUGGCUUACCAAGGCUUUGACGGGUAGCCGGCCUGAGAGGGUGACCGGCCACAUUGGGACUGAGAUACGGCCCAGACGCCUACGGGAGGCAGCAGUGGGGAAUAUUGCACAAUGGGUGGAAGCCUGAUGCAGCAACGCCGUGUGCGGGAUGACGGCCUUCGGGUUGUAAACCGCUUUCGCUCAUGACGAAGCUUUGUGUGACGGUAGUGGGUAAAGAAGCACCGGCUAACUACGUG
RNAcentral lists this ribosomal RNA (467 nucleotides) under uncultured bacterium. RNAcentral describes it as "partial 16S ribosomal RNA". It matches the Rfam family "Bacterial small subunit ribosomal RNA", at positions 28 to 507 of the family's 1533-position model. The record is from RNAcentral.